RNAcentral lists this ribosomal RNA (506 nucleotides) under uncultured bacterium. RNAcentral describes it as "partial 16S ribosomal RNA". It matches the Rfam family "Bacterial small subunit ribosomal RNA", at positions 29 to 523 of the family's 1533-position model. The record is from RNAcentral.
AGUGAACGCUGGCGGUAGGCCUAACACAUGCAAGUCGAACGGCAGCACAGGAGAGCUUGCUCUCUGGGUGGCGAGUGGCGGACGGGUGAGGAAUACAUCGGAAUCUACUUUUUCGUGGGGGAUAACGUAGGGAAACUUACGCUAAUACCGCAUACGACCUACGGGUGAAAGCAGGGGAUCUUCGGACCUUGCGCGAUUGAAUGAGCCGAUGUCGGAUUAGCUAGUUGGCGGGGUAAAGGCCCACCAAGGCGACGAUCCGUAGCUGGUCUGAGAGGAUGAUCAGCCACACUGGAACUGAGCCACGGUCCAGACUCCGACGGGAGGCAGCAGUGGGGAAUAUUGGACAAUGGGCGCAAGCCUGAUCCAGCCAUACCGCGUGGGUGAAGAAGGCCUUCGGGUUGUAAAGCCCUUUUGUUGGGAAAGAAAUCCAGCUGGUUAAUACCCGGUUGGGAUGACGGUACCCAAAGAAUAAGCACCGGCUAACUUCGUGCCAGCCGCCGCAGUAA